RNAcentral lists this transfer RNA (67 nucleotides) under Marisa cornuarietis. RNAcentral's name for it is "tRNA-Pro". Lineage: Eukaryota; Metazoa; Mollusca; Gastropoda; Architaenioglossa; Ampullariidae. The record is from RNAcentral.
CGAAAUCAUAGUUUAGAUAGAACAUUAGCUUUGGGAGCUAGAAGCCAAAAAGAUUUUUGUAUUUCGG